CUUUUCUUAUGGCUUCAGGGUGAAUGCUGCUCCAAAACACAAGAGGGAGGACGUACAUCUUCCCUGUUUAGACUGGCCACAGACUGAACUGUGAACACCGUGUGCGUUGAAGACAAGACUCACUCUGUUGCAGCAUGAUCCAGCAGGCAACUUGAGGAUGGACCACAUUUCCUUUCUUCACACUCUUGCAAUGGUCUUGCGGGUGAAGAGAACCUCAUUCAACACUGCCCACAAGCAGCAUGGAAGAUUCAUGCCAUACAGGAGCAUACAAGAUUUGUGCAAAGGAGAGACACGCAUUCGGAAGUCUUUCUUCAGACCCCCUCAUCCCCAACAUUUUGGCUCAGCAAUGCAGUCCCCUUGGUGGAGAGGAGCUGGG
This 376-nucleotide long non-coding RNA is filed under the name Apteryx owenii (little spotted kiwi). Its description in RNAcentral is "lncRNA (ENSAOWG00000013002.1)". The record is from RNAcentral. Lineage: Eukaryota; Metazoa; Chordata; Aves; Apterygiformes; Apterygidae.